Molecule: ribosomal RNA, 611 nt
Filed under: uncultured bacterium
Lineage: Bacteria
Description: bacterial SSU rRNA
Rfam family: Bacterial small subunit ribosomal RNA (bases 1-521)
Source: RNAcentral
CCUACGGGAGGCAGCAGUGGGGAAUCUUGCGCAAUGGGCGAAAGCCUGACGCAGCCAUGCCGCGUGAAUGAUGAAGGUCUUAGGAUUGUAAAAUUCUUUCACCGGGGGACGAUAAUGACGGUACCCGGAGAAGAAGCCCCGGCUAACUUCGUGCCAGCAGCCGCGGUAAUACGAAGGGGGGCUAGCGUUGCUCGGAAUUACUGGGCGUAAAGGGAGCGUAGGCGGAUAGUUUAGUCAGAGGUGAAAGCCCAGGGCUCAACCUUGGAAUUGCCUUUGAUACUGGCUAUCUUGAGUAUGGGAGAGGUUAGCGGAACUCCGAGUGUAGAGGUGAAAUUCGUAGAUAUUCGGAAGAACACCAGUGGCGAAGGCGGCUAACUGGCCCAUUACUGACGCUGAGGCUCGAAAGCGUGGGGAGCAAACAGGAUUAGAUACCCUGGUAGUCCACGCCGUAAACGAUGAGUGCUAGUUGUCGGCAUGCAUGCAUGUCGGUGACGCGAGCUACGACAUUAAGACACUCCGCCGUCGGGGAGGUACGGUCGCGAGAAUUAAACUACAAAUAGAAGUUAGUACGGCGUGAGACGUGCCGACGGACGACGACGAGGGAGGUUAGG